UUUCCCUUUACAAUUUAAAGAUUUAGCCCUAAAUAACCGAUUAGAAAUAGAGGCUCCACAUUUAUCUACUUAUAUUCACGAACAUGCCACUCAUCGUGUUUCCAAUCAUCCUCGUUCAUUGCUAAUUGGUGUUCCCUUCUCUUGGUCGUCACCAUCGCUAUCGCCAUCGCCAGUCGACUACUGUCGCCAUCGGAGACACUCACGAGUCACGCCUACCGCCGCCUCUUAUCUCCAUCCUUUUCCUUUACCUUGCUCAUCUAUGUUUCCUUCUUACCAGCAUUUCCUUGCUCAUCAUCGUCGUCGUCCGCCUACUGGCGCUAUCACAGACCCUCACGCCUCUUGACUCCUCUUCCCGUUGUUCUUUUCCUUGACCGUGUGCAGGAGUUGAUUUUGCUGAAAUAUGAUACGUGUGAAAGCUUUAAGGUGUCAACUGGUGCUAAUGCAGUUGAGUACAUUAUCAACCAUCGAGAAAUUUCCAAUUUUUAUUAGUUUUUGUUCAAGAGAGCAAGUUACCUGUUGUAUGUGUCCUUCAAAUCUUCUUCUUGAAGCUAUUGUGAGCCUUAGGAAGGUCGUUGGGUCACAAAAGAAGGAAGUCAUGGAACAAGGUUUUCAUUGCUUCUCCUAGGAAGAAUUUACUGAAAUGGUAACUAUUUCUGGUCAAAUCAGAAACUAGCAGCAAUCACUCAUUUAAUGAUCAUGUUCUUAUCUUGUUCAUGUAGCAAUAGUGAUGUAAGCCAUGGGAGGUGAGCAAAUAUGUGCACUUAAGGAUAUUGGUCCCAAGUAAGUGCUCUAAUAUCCGAGCAGUUAUAUUAUUCUUUUUUAUCAAAAUAAUUUCAAAAAAUAUAAACAUAUAACUAGAUAAAUCAUUAUAGAAUGAUAUAGUUGUUGUUCAAACCCAAGAAAUCACAUUGUUAGAGUUAUCCUCUUAUCUCUUAUAAUUACAAUGCUCUGGUUGAUAUUUUUUCUGAUUCUCAUGUAGUCUCCGUCUACGCAAUUAAAUGCAAGUAAUGACAACCUGCUUUUGUUGACUCAUUUAAUAUAGCAACCUACUUCAAUUUCCUUUUCCAUGUCUAAAUUCUUCAUAGCAUCUGUGGAUUUUGUUGGCAAAUUGAUGAUAAAUUGACUUCUAUUUGUAGUUCCUUGUUAUAAGCUUCAAUGUAAUUAACAUAGUUUUGCAAAAUAGCAUAAGAUGUAAUUCAAUUUUUGAAGAUUAAGACUAUUCCAUUACACAUCUUGAUUCAGGGAAACACAUUUAUCAAAAAAAAAGAAUGAUGAUGUCUUUCAAUAGUUUAUUUGCUGCUACAUGAUCAACUGCGAGUAAUUUUAGUUCAAGAUAUCAAAAUGCGAAAGACUAAAAAGAGAAAAGAGACCACUUACGCAACGGCACAUCAAUUAAAGCAAACAUGGAGCAAUGGUGUUAAUAAAAAAAAUGUAUAACUUAUCUUUCUUGGUUACAACUUUGCAUGUACUUCUAUUUUUUAUAACCCUGGAUAUGUUUUGAUGUA
Non-coding RNA from Lactuca sativa (garden lettuce), 1505 nucleotides. Lineage: Eukaryota; Viridiplantae; Streptophyta; Magnoliopsida; Asterales; Asteraceae. The record is from RefSeq and is a predicted model, not a curated record.